Molecule: ribosomal RNA, 253 nt
Filed under: uncultured bacterium
Lineage: Bacteria
Description: partial 16S ribosomal RNA
Rfam family: Bacterial small subunit ribosomal RNA
Source: RNAcentral
CACGGGGGGAGCAAGCGUUGUUCGGAAUCACUGGGCGUAAAGGGCGUGUAGGCGGUUCGGUAAGUGGAAUGUGAAAUCCCUCGGCUCACCCGAGGACCUGCAUCCCAAACUGCCGAGCUUGAGUAUGGGAGAGGAUGAGGGAAUUCCUGGUGUAGCGGUGAAAUGCGUAGAUAUUGGGAGGAACACCAGUGGCGAAGGCGGCUCACUGGACCGGAACUGACGCUGAGGCGCGAAAGCGUGGGGAGCAAACGGG